Halocaridina rubra (Hawaiian volcano shrimp) is the source of this 73-nucleotide non-coding RNA. The record is from the annotation of a GenBank genome assembly. Lineage: Eukaryota; Metazoa; Arthropoda; Malacostraca; Decapoda; Atyidae.
GGCUGCCGUGGCACAGUGGUAACGCUUGAGACUUUGAUUCAUCUAGUCAUGGGUUCGAUGCCCGCCACGGUCC